GACGAACGCUGGCGGCGUGCUUAACACAUGCCAGUCGAACGGAAAGGCCCUGCUUUUGUGGGGUGCUCGAGUGGCGAACGGGUGAGUAACACGUGAGUAACCUGCCCUUGACUUUGGGAUAACUUCAGGAAACUGGGGCUAAUACCGGAUAGGAGCUCCUGCUGCAUGGUGGGGGUUGGAAAGUUUCGGCGGUUGGGGAUGGACUCGCGGCUUAUCAGCUUGUUGGUGGGGUAGUGGCUUACCAAGGCUUUGACGGGUAGCCGGCCUGAGAGGGUGACCGGCCACAUGGGGACUGAGAAAGGGCCCAGACUCCUACGGGAGGCAGCGGUGGGGAAUAUUGCACAAUGGGCGGAAGCCUGAUGCAGCAACGCCGCGUGCGGGAGGACGGCCUUCGGGUUGUAAACCGCUUUCGCCUGUGACGAAGCGUGAGUGACGGUAAUGGGUAAAGAAGCACCGGCUAACUACGUG
Molecule: ribosomal RNA, 468 nt
Filed under: uncultured bacterium
Lineage: Bacteria
Description: partial 16S ribosomal RNA
Rfam family: Bacterial small subunit ribosomal RNA
Source: RNAcentral